This 294-nucleotide ribosomal RNA is filed under the name uncultured bacterium. RNAcentral's name for it is "partial 16S ribosomal RNA". It matches the Rfam family "Bacterial small subunit ribosomal RNA", at positions 337 to 647 of the family's 1533-position model. The record is from RNAcentral.
UCCUACGGGGCGCAGCAGUGGGGGAUAUUGCACAAUGGGGGAAACCCUGAUGCAGCGACGCCGCGUGAGUGAAGAAGUAUUUCGGUACGUAAAGCUCUAUCAGCAGGGAAGAAUAAUGACGGUACCUGACUAAGAAGCCCCGGCUAACUACGUGCCAGCAGCCGCGGUAAUACGUAGGGGGCAAGCGUUAUCCGGAUUUACUGGGUGUAAAGGGAGCGUAGACGGCUGUGCAAGUCUGAAGUGAAAUGCCGGGGCUCAACUCCGGAACUGCUUUGGACACUGUACAGCUAGAGU